GAGGAGAAUGUAAACGUGAUGAGUGAGCUCAGCCUACGUCUUGGUGUUGUCCUUUCCGGAUGGGUUAAAAGAAAGAACCAGAAAGCGGGGUUACAAUGGUGCCGUGAUUCCCGUUUGUGAUCAACGCAAAGCCAAUCUCCGGGGGGGGACGACAAGGCCUACAGCGAAGAGAAGCGUGGACAUCGCGUGCUUCAUUCGGUCGAGUGGACUGCGGUUGCCAGAUUCUCCAGUUAAAGACACUUUUUUUCGGGGGACUUUCGAAAGAGAAAAACGUCGCACUACAGAUAAGUGAAUAGAAGGCUUUUUGAUUAAUCUGACUUUUGAGUUUAGCUCAGAACAUUCUGAGUAUUUUACAUUUGAAAACAUGGCUGAGGGUGGUGCAGAUAAUUCUUUUCUUGGGAUUGGACGGGGGAAAUAUCUGAUGCAGUUUUCUGAUAACAAGCCAGGGUUGGGUGAAUUUGACUGUAAGACUGACAUUCAUGCUGGUAAUGGGAGAAAUUAUAUGGCUCAUGAUGUACAUAAGACUCUCCCUCUUACUUCUACUCCGAAGCCAUGUAAUGUGGAAAGUUCUAGUGAUCAAGGCGUCAGUGAAUUAGGUGCUUUAGUUAAAGAAUUGGGCCGACAAAUUGGUGACUCAGUCACAGCCAAACUUUUGUCAGGGGGUGAAUUUGCCAGAACCAAUAAUGGUAGUAACACCACAGGCUCUCAGUGUGCUAAUCUUGAUUUGUCACAGUUGAAUGUCGUUCUGAAAUCAGAUGAAAAAGUCCCAUCAGUGUUUAGGGGGGAUGGUUUAGGUAGACAUGACAUUCAAGAAUGGGUUGAGAUGAUGCAAGUUUACCUGCAGAAGAGAAAUGUCAAAAUUACCGAACAGGCUGAUGAGAUUAUUAGUCAUCUAAUGGGCAGGGCUAAAGACAUUGUGAAAGUAGCCCUACGCAGCAACCCUGCGCUUGACUGCACAAAUCACCCUGAGAUUAUAUACAGCAUACUUAAGCAACACUUCAGUGAAGUGUCCUGCUCCAGCAUGCCACUCGCAGACUUUUACAGCACAUUGCCCAAACACGGCGAAAAUCCUGUUGACUACUGGCUUCGCCUUAAUAAAGCAGCAGAUAUAGCUGACGAGUGUCUCAGAGGGCAGGGCAGAAGAAUGGACAAUUUAAAUUCUGAAGUUGCAAUGAUGUUUGUGAGAAAUUGCCCAGACCCUGAUCUAGCACGCACUUUUAAAGUACGGCCGUUAGAAUGCUGGACUGCAAAAGAUGUCCAGGAGCUUUUAGAUAGUUUCCAACGUGAGCUUAAGCUAAGAUCAAACACCAACGCCUACCCAGUCAGCCAAAAUGCACACACGACCAUGCAGAGCUGUGGAAAUUCUAAUGUUGUUUCUGAGNNNNNNNNNNNNNNNNNNNNNNNNNNNNNNNNNNNNNNNNNNNNNNNNNNNNNNNN
Molecule: long non-coding RNA, 1437 nt
Filed under: Sinocyclocheilus grahami
Lineage: Eukaryota; Metazoa; Chordata; Actinopteri; Cypriniformes; Cyprinidae
Description: lncRNA (ENSSGRG00000009111.1)
Source: RNAcentral